GACGAACGCUGGCGGCGUGCUUAACACAUGCAAGUCGAACGGAAAGGACAUGAUUUUGUGGUGUGCUCGAGUGGCGAACGGGUGUGUAACCCGUCAGUAAACUGCCCUUGACUCUGGGUUACCUUCACGAAACUGGGGCUACUACCGGCUAGGAGCUCCUGCUGCUUGGUGUGGGUUGGAACGUUUCGGCGGAAGGGGAUGGACUCGCGGAUUAUCAGCUCUUGGGUGGGGUAGAGGCUUACCAAGGCUUUGACGGAUCGCCGGCCGGAGAGGGUGACCGGCCGCAUUGGCACGAAGUGACGGCCCAGACUCCUUCGGGAGGCAGGAGGGGGGAAUGUUGCACAAUGGACGGAAGCCUGAUGCAGCAACGCCGCGUGCGGGAGGACGGCCGUCAGUUUGUAAGCCGCUUUCGCCUGUAACGAAGCGAGAGUGACGGUAAUGAGUAAAGAAGCACCGGCUAACUACGU
This 467-nucleotide ribosomal RNA is filed under the name uncultured bacterium. RNAcentral describes it as "partial 16S ribosomal RNA". It matches the Rfam family "Bacterial small subunit ribosomal RNA", at positions 28 to 506 of the family's 1533-position model. The record is from RNAcentral.